This 1168-nucleotide long non-coding RNA is filed under the name Homo sapiens (human). Its description in RNAcentral is "HSALNT0167851". The record is from RNAcentral. Lineage: Eukaryota; Metazoa; Chordata; Mammalia; Primates; Hominidae.
CAAACAAAACUGAAGUCAGAGAGAUGAUGAAAGGCGUGCAAGAACGGGAGAAAGGAAGAAAGGAAAGAAAGGAGGAUGGCUGAGACGGGGGGAAGGAGGGAGCAAGGAAGGAGAAAGGGAAAAUAAUUCCAAACAGGUUUCAAGAUUGAGCUGACCCUGCCAUCUAAAUAUAGCAUGGCAACAUGGACAUAUUGAAGAUAAAUGAUUUACUGACUGGCUUAGAGGAAAUCAGAUAAAUUAUCUUCUACUGACUCCUGACUAGCCAACCUCAGAAACAACUCUCUUUUGAGAAAGGUUUUGUGAUAAGAGAUACAUUAGCUAUUUUUUGUUUCACCUGGUUACAGAGUUCUCAAGCUGCCUUAAAUAUCAUAGAAGAAUUUCACGUUGAAGUUGCUGAUUUUAUUCAGCCUCUUUGAACAUGUCAACAUGGAUAUUGUCCUUGAACACACAGCUCCACAUGCCCAUGGGCUGAAGAAGAUGCUGAGAAAUGGAUUCUAUAUCUAAAUCUCAUUGCUGAGUAAACAAGAUGUCUUUAGUUGGCUGAAGAAAUUAACCUGACCAAUGGCAUAGGAAAUCCUGCAGUUUGAGCCAUGUUGGAAUUGCCCAAAGGCCUUGCACCAGGAGCAAAUACUUUGCUCCUAAAGCAGACAUUCAGAUCUGGAAAAUCUGAAAGAGAACAUGGGCAUGAUUCCCUUCAUUUUAAAAAUCAUCUUGAAUCCUGAGGCACAUUUGAAAUGCAAGAUAUGUGAGGUGAAUGGCAGAAAAGAAAAAUACCAGAAGACUGAAUUUCCAAUAAAUCAAAGCAACCGAAUUUCAAUUUACAAUAGUGGAACUCAGGACAUAUUUUUUCCACCAAAACAUCCAACCAAGUAUGAGUGAGUGGCCUGGCCUUAACACAUUGUUUGUUUGAACAACAAUUUGAAGGAAAGUCGAUAUGUUGAUAAUAUAAUAUAGAGUAACUUCAGAAGGCCUUAUAAAGAAUGUGCAGUAGGAAGAAGAAAAUCUGGAACCCUGAGUUAGCCUGGUGGGAAAGUCAGCCUCAGCUGAAGCCUCAACAGGCAGCUUGGAUGCUUCUUGACAUCUACAUUAAGGCCAUUUCACAGUGGAAAAGAUGGCAGUUUUGAAAGGGACAAAGAAGAAGUCUUGUGAAAUAAAUAACUCUGCAAUG